UUCACUCCCCUGCUCCCAUGGGAAUCCUCAGGUAAACAGACAUGUCUUGUCUGCAGUGGUGCUCCGAUGUACAGAGGCUGGGAACAGAGGAAGGACAAACCUCCUGACUUUAUUUUUGCUGGGGGUGUAAAAUGAGCCAAGGCUUUCUGCAGUCGCUAUUCUAUACAUAUCUUUUGGGUCUGAUGCUAUUUUUGUUGGCUGUGACCCUGGAGGUGUAGGUGUGGAAGUGCCUUUCUGCUGCUCUCUGCAUGCGGGUGUAGAUGUUUCCUCUGUUCCAGGCGCCUCCUCAGACUCUGUGGCCUUUCAGGGGGAGUAGGCGGAUGUCAGCGUGGCCUUUCCCCACCUGUCUGUAACUUUUUAAUACUUCUUUUUAUUUUGGCCUUGCGCUUCUUCCAUGGAACGUCUCUGGGUAGCCACUGGGAGGUGUAAAUGGCUUGAGAUGGAAACCACAGCUUGUAGGUGCGCCCUCUGCCAGGCUUUUCUGGCACCCGAGGAAGUCAGGUCUCUGCCUGCUCCCAAGCAAAAGGGAUAUUACCAGCUGCUCGGUGAGAAAACAAAUUCACAGAGAUACAGGAAAGUGUGUUAAGGUGGUGGGAAGCAACGGGAGUGAGAUUCCUGGCAGCUCGGGUAUGUAAAUAUUCAUAAAAUAGAGAGUGUGUGCAUGUGUGUACUUUGUGGUGGCAGGAAACCCAAGAAGCUAGCUCCAUUAUUUUUGCUGGAACUGCUAGCAGCUGUACCAGACAAAUAUUAUAAGCUCUUAAUCCUCCUGACUUUACACCUGUGAAUGACCUAAAGACCAUCCAAGGUGAUCUAAAUUACAGCACAUCUUUACUAAUUAGUAAUGGGUUUUGGGAUCUGAUUUAGUUGUUUGUAAAAAGGGCUUUCUGUUUUUCAGUAGUUCAGAUGUUGGACUGCCUGUGGGGGAAGCGAGGGGAAGGCAGGAGGUGGAGGUAAUGUGUGGCCUCUUCUGAAGUGUCACAUGGAUGUGACUAGCCUGCCACAAAUUUAGCACCGGUGGCACUGACAAGACACUGCAGUGGAAAAAGCAGAGAUGUCCUUUUAAGCAGACGCAGGGUAAGGAAAUUGGCUGAAGUUAAUGGAUCUAAGUUAUAAUUUCCAGUGGAAAUACUAAUGCAAUUAAUGUAUUUCCACACAGCAGGACAGCAAGCCCAUGCAAGUGUUUAGCUGUUUGUCAUGACUGCUCAGGAGGCUGGUCCAGCCACAUCCUGGGGUCUGUCCAGCUGCACCCAGACACAUGCAGCCUGUGCUGAGAGUGGGAGCAGGGCUGAGACACACCCCAGUGUGGCAGUAGGUUUGAGGGGCUGGAGGAGACCAUCACCAGGACCGGCUUCUGCAUGGUUGUGGAAAGUGAAGGUGCCCGACGAGGAACAUCUGUCUCGCUGCUUGUGACCUGGGUGUGGGGCUGUUCCUUUACCCCAGCUCCAUGGUAGUGCAGUCCCCAGCUGGGGUCUGCACGUCCUGUCUGGACACGGGGAUAAGCAGGAAAGCUCAACAGCCUCUUCACACAGCACCACAGAUCUCCCUGCUGCCCACUUACUGCUGCACCCACCACCUCCUGCAGAGAAAUCUCUCUCUUCUUAGGGGUGUGCCUGUUCUCAGUGAAGUUACAAACCCUCUAGGGCAAGGCGCAAGACUCGUCUGUCUCCUCCCUGAACAUGCCGCAAGUGCGUGAAGCCAGAGAAGGGAUUUCCAUCCUGCCAGUGUGGUAAUGGGAGCUGAGGAAGUGCCCAGCCUGGCUGCAGCAGGGUGAGGUAUGGAGCAAGAUGUGUUUCUCACCAGUGGUGGAGCAGAGCCACGAAGCUGCUGUUGGGGAGACUGGUGUUCUAUCCUGCUGCAGGUCCCCGGAGCGGCACCCCAUCCCGUCCCUGGGGAGAGUCCACAUCCAUGGGACAGCCUGUGCAGCCAGGUGCCAGCGUCCUCUUUCCUUCGGGUCUCAGGCGGGCACACGGUGGUCCUGAGGUCCCCAGCAGCCCUGCUGGGCCCAACCUCAGGAGUGGAUUAUUGUGUGCAGCAAGGGCACAGCUUCAAAUAGGUGUCCCUAACCUGGCCUUAUCUGCACAGGGUUCUGUGCCUGCCAGGGCAGAGGGAAGUCAAAUAUAUCUCACAUCAGUAAAUUGUUGUUCAGAUUAAGGGAAGUGCCAGAAGCUUUAAAGAGGCUGUUGGCAGAUUCCAGGAAAAAAGAAACAAGUGACACCUGCUGCACAUCAAAACAGCAAUUACCUUUGUAUCAAUGAGAUGGUUAAUGCAUGUAACAAGUGGUUGGGGACAUGGAAAGGCAUAGAUCUCAGAAACCAGGACAAAAUCAGUUCUUUCAAAUCAUGCAUCCAUGGUCCCGAGCUGAUACACAAGCAAGAUGAUAAUGCAGCACAGUGGUUUUUGUUGGCCUCUGCCUGUUUUCAGCCACAGCAGCCCUAGCUGCUGAUUAUUCAGCAGACAUUAACCAGUGGAAUGUUUCCAUGAUUUUUUUUUUUUUAAAGAGUGCUGGGACAAAAUGCUUUCAUCUUUUUAUUUUCUCUUUGAGAAAGUCUAAGACAACUCCAGAGCCUCUCGGAUUAUGACAUUUAUGUGACAUGCAGUGCUGGUGUCAGAAAAUGCUGCUUGCUGUGCUGGUGGCCACUUACUUCCAACAAGCUCAGCUGUCACCCUCUGAAAAAUACCAUUUUGUCCUUUCACAGUGGAGCUUGUCAUAACCUUAUUUCCAAACACAUGGGUUGCACUCCACACAUCUUACAGCUCUGUGAGAUAUUUGCAUUAGGGAGGCAACUUGCUUUCCCGCCUAUCCCGUUCCAUCAAAACACACUUUUAGCACCAGGCAGGAAGCCAAGGUCAAGUCUCCUUUUCUUUCUUUUUUUUUUUUUUUUUUUUUUUUUCUUUCUCCUCCUGCCUGCUCUGAAUGCAUUUUAAUACAGACUUCAGCUCCAUUAUUAUAUCUUUUCCCACAAGACCGUUGCCUCAUUCAGACCUCAGCAGGGAACAUGUUUUAAUCUCUGCCAGCUUGGCAUGGCUAGAGAGCCCUAUGCCCAUAGGAGCUCCAAGGGGGAGGACACAGAGGUGAGGCUUUUCAGAUUCCCGUGCACAGAGGAUAGAGAGAGGAGUUUGGUUAGCUCCAAAUCUGGUAGGGCAUUUCCAGGGAGCCUCUCCCACUGCCUCCCUUGUCAGGCCAGUAAUGAAGAAUGCCAAUGACGAUGCGAUUCCUCUCCUCUGUUUUUAAGUGCCUAAAAGUUAGGUGUCUAAACCUAAUUAGUUGGACAGGCUUCCUGCAUAGCCAAUGGAGACAAAUAGGCACCUCUAGUGUAUGAUUCAUGUCACAUAUCUUGAAGUUUAUCUUGAGAAGGGCUGACUCACCCAACAGCCAAGCACCCGCUUCUCUUCUGUGACUGUGGAGGCAGAUCAGCAGCUUGCUGAGGGUUUGACAGCUACAUUUUGGGUGUCCCAAGCUGGGCAAGGUGAGUCCUACUCCCAGCUGUGGCAGUAGCUGUGGAAAGCAUCAUCACUUGGCUGCUCUGGCUUGCCCCCCUCCCACCCUGUUUCCCACAGAAGGUCCAUUUGCAGCCCUGCCCAAGCAGGGCUGGGUUUUAGUCUGUCCAAAUCACAUUAUCAGCCCUUAUGGCAUUAUCAGACCAAGUUAAAUAUUUAUAAAGCACCUGGGGGCAGGGUCCACAUCUUUCUUCAGUUUGUAUAUUCCCUCGAGGAGCAAAGCCCCUGUGCUGGUUUGCAACCCUUUGCAGACUGGUGCAAUACAGCACCAUGAGUCUGUGUGCCAAUCUGCAUGUCUUGACAAAAUGCAGCUGGGAAUGCAGAAAGACCUCAGGGACAUUGGGAAAUAGGCAGGAGUGAAUCAUAAGAGUCAGGAGAAGCAGCUAAUGUGUGGGAAAAAGGCAAAUGUGCUACCUCGGCACAAACAUACAAUAAGGAAGUAUGUAAUAAUAAUUAUUGUUAUUGUAAUACGGCCUGGGUGAGCAUUUGGGAAAAAGAUAUCUAAUAACUGACAAGCGACGUGGCUCGGUUUGUUUUGAUCUGAAAUUCAAACAAUGGUUGUGUUUAUAAGGCAAUAAUACGCAGGGUACUGGCACCACACCAACUAUGCACUCCCCAAGUCGGGUUUAUAUAGGUCAUGCCAAACAAAUAAUAGUGUUCUUCAAUAUAAUUACUGAUUCAUUACAGAAAGAGAAUGUAAUUGAGUCUGUUUGGAUUUCAGGGAGGUGUAGAUAUGGUAAAUUCAUACAUUUGAACUCAGAUUGGGAAAGCUUUGUGUGCUUGCCGAGUUCUGCUCAUCUAGGAUUCAGAGAUAAAAUUCCCACUGCAGCCUGCCCCAGCAGCAUGAGCCUUCCCUCAGGCUUCAGCAGUUGCUCAUGCUCCUGCUGCCCUUUGCAGACUCUUUCAGUGCCCUUUGAAGCACUUCACAGGUAAACUGGGAAACUAAACUAAUGUUAGAGCAAGAGCCAGAUCCAAAUAUGCUGGACAUGGCUCUUACCUCAGGCAAUUGCACGUACCCCUUGAUCCUGGGGGUAUGCUGGCCCCUCCACUUCUGAACUUUCUGGUCCGUGGCCCACUUCUGGAUAUGUCUCCUGACACACAUCAUUCUCAGUGUUCCUGCAGGGGAAAGCAGCAAAAGGCAGAGGAUGAGAUGGGCUGGCAGUGCCCACCAGUUCCCUGGACAAAGACGCCCCAGCUUAAAUGGCACAUUUGGCCACAGGAGAGUUAAACUGUGUUGUUCUCAUCCUGGCAUGAGAGUGGGGUUGGACAGUGGUAGGGCCAUGCUGCCACCCAGCAUGGCAAGCAGGUGCUACCAGCACUCAGCAUUAAAGGACAAGAGCCGGGCUCUGAAGGUGAGGGAGGACCGGGACUUUUGAAUGGCUUUGCCACAGGCCAUUCCCUGGGGUGUGGUGGACUGGCUUUUUUUUGGCUGCAGUACUCUGCUUUUCCCAGGGAGACCUGGGCAGUCCUACACAGUCUGAGGUGUUUCCUGCUGGCUUUAACCCUGUGUGGACCCUGCACAGCACACAGGGGUGGAUGAUAGUGCCCAGAGUAGCCUCCUCAGCACCCAGCACGCUGCCAGUACCAGCGACAGUGCUCUGUGUGACACCUGGGCUCAAGGGGUUUACCCAGGAAAACACAAAGCAUGGUGGCACAGCCUUGGAGUCAGCACCCCUCAUGUCCAUCACCGGCCCUGCUGCUGCUCGCCACAGUACACUGGGCAGAACCCCAGUCUCUGUCCUCCCUCCUGCCCUGCCCCAGGUAGCAGCUGCCUUUUAAAGAAAGGCCAGACAGGCAUAAUAUGAGGCUUCCAGAAAAAUGGGGACCAUGCUGGUCACCCUGGUGGACCAGCACCCAGUGGAAGGAGCAUUGAUAGAGCACUAGACCCACUAGUCAGCUGACUCCUGCGAGCUUCUGAAGAAGUUCAUCAGGAACAUGCAGGGACCAUAGUAAUUUAUGCUUUCAAAAGGUCUUUUGAUAAAGGCCUUUCCAAGAAUGAAACAAGCUUGGCAGCCAUGGUAUGAAAAGUCCCAUAAUGGAUUGAAAAUUGAGUCAGAACUGGCAGAAUGGGGGAAAUAUCCAUUACAAGUAAAAGGCCAGUGUUCCAGUUGGGGAAGAAAAGUUUACUGGGUGGAAGGGGGUGGUGGGACCAUGCCUAGCAGAGAUGAAAGCAGCCCUCUGAAUACUAUUACAAAAAUCAGUGAAGGGGGAAGAAGGAUAAAAAGGCAACAGCAUUUGCUGCCAACAGAGAACCAUGCAUUAUAAAUGCAAGCAAGUCUUGGCAGGACUGGGAGGGACUCCAGAAGAUUCUAACUAAACUUGGAAACCAAACCACCAUGACGGAGAAAGUUCAGUGCACACAAAUGCCAAAGCAAGCUGUUUUAGAAGAAAUUGGGCAAGCCUCUUACUCUGAAUUAGAAGUUGUUUUGUGGGGGUCAGCAGCGGACGGGGGCAAUGACUGUUCAAGCAUCACACCUCAGACACCUGCACCGUGGGUCAGCAUGAAGAACAUGUCAUCCUAUAACCUGGGUACCCACCACAGUCCAUGCCCACUUGCCCACUGUGAAGCAGGACCUAAAGAAACAUUGUGAGAUGGAUCAUACUGAGUCAAGAUCUGAAGUCCAUCAGAGGCACCAUGGAAGAAUAGAAACAGGAUCAAACGCAGAGCUGGAUGGGGGACUUUUUCUGUGAAGGGAGGUUGAGGAGUAUAAUAUUAUUUCAUUUGCAACAGGGAUGAGGAAGACUACAAAACAAUAGUUCCCUUUAGCAACAACUGGCUGAUGCUUUCAGUUUAUUUGUGCUCUGCAAGUUGAAAAGAGAGAUGUAAAGGUGCUUUUAAAAAUAGUUGCAAGGAAGUUUGUGCUUUGCCACUGCCUCUCAGUACUGUUCCCGGCUGGAUGUGAUCUGCUGAUAAGCUCAUACCUGGCCUGAACUCAGCGGCCUCUGCGUGCCAAGCCACCCCGAGCAGUACACCGGCGAGGUUGCCAACACCCACUGGAUGCAAUUGCCUUGUGGGCAACCUCCAGCCCUGGGCAGCAGCUGGUAAAGCAGCCUGUGCACUGAAAGCCUGCUCACAUCAGUGCCUGGCUGUCACGGUGUGGGGACUACACUGCGGGGCUAAAUGUGGUCCCUGGCAGGGCGUGGUGACACCGAAACUCAUGCAAUAAGAAAUGGGAGGGGGGUCUGUGUGUAAAUAAUUUACUAGUAUGACCUGGCUGUCAGUCCCUUGUUUAUUUUCAUUAAGUUACUAAAGAACCAUGUUGAUUCUGAAACAAGUUUGGGGGACCAGAGAACAUAGAACAAAGGCAUCUGUCCCCUGUGUGUGGCAAGGCAGCCGGGCUGCGAGGGGACAGAUGCUUUCUGAAUUUCCAACUUUUCCUGCAUACAGAAACCUUUGUGGAUAAACCAGAGAGGGAGAAACGCCACGUAUUCUACAGGUGUCUGAACCAGAAAGCAGGUACCAGAAAGGGCAAGGCAGCACAUGCUGGAUUCUUGAGAGACAAGUGGGAUCAGGGAAAUCCAAGACCAGAGCUCUGCCUUCCUCUCUGGACCAUAAAAUGAUUAAGCAUCUAACCACCUUGUUCAUGCUGCUGGAGCAGGGGUCCAGAAAGUCUGGGACCUGAUUCACUCCUCCAUGAGUUUGGAGUCUGGCUGUUCUGGCCUCAAGCUCUCAAGCAGAGGGAUGGGAUCUUGAAACUUCACAGACCCUGAUUCUGCUUCCAGGUAUCAAGGGUGAACUAAGAAAGCCAGCCGAGUCCCCUUGAAGUAAAAAGACUGAUGAUGAAGAAGACCUGAACUCCUUCUCCAAGGGCAGUAGAUGUUGUCUUGGGGUAGUCCUGACUUUGGAAGAGGACUGGAAUGUGGAGAGGCUGCCUUGAGGAGUUGACUUGAGCUCACAAAGGUGGGCAGCCGGACCCUUGGUGAAGCUGUCGGUCUGUGUCGCUCAGAAGAUGUUGUGGGGAUCGGGGGAGCGGCCCUGGAACCACCCCUGGGCUGGAGAAUCCAGUGCACAGCCCUUCAGAGCAUUUCUCACCGUGGCCGUGAUGACAAAGAGACUUCCAAGGGCUCGAGGAAAUGCCAGGGUGUCAAAAUGAUGGGACCUAGAUUGUCUGCACACACAGACGUGCCUUCCAACAAACAGGUCCUUCAGGAGAUCUGCACAUGGCUCACCUCCAUGGCUGAUUUUUGAGCCCCCCUCCGCCGCUCCUCCACCUUUUCCUUCCGCUCCCCGGCAGGUGAACGUGCUGAAAACCUCAUGGGGGCCGAGGACAGAGCUCCGUGUGUGUGUGGGUGUGUCUGUGUGCGCCGGGGGUUCCGCAAAGGCAAAGCUCUGGGUCAGAAGCGCGAUUUUGGUGCGAUUUUGGAGUUUCUCGAAGCGCGGUUUCCGUGAGGCGGUGCUACAGCGCCACCUGGCGGGCCGGGGCUGCGCGGGGCUCCUUCGGUUCCCGGGAUCCGCCCCAUGGGAAGCGGUGAUGGCACUGCCCGCUGGGAUCGCACUGCUGACGAGCCGGGCAAACCCCGCUGUCACCUAAACAGCGCGAUCACGGCGAAGAAGCGUGGGCAGCCCCAGAGCCCGGCCCGAGGCAGCCCCUGAGUGCUGCGUCACACCACAGCCUCACCGUAAUCACACGCGUGACCCGCCCGCGGCACGCUCCUCUUCCACGCGCUGCGAUGGCUGUUGUUCAGGCAGCAGGGACGCUUGUGGGAGGGUAGGAAAGUGCACAGCGCAGGUUUAUGAGGUCUUAGCAGAGUUAAGGAAAUUCACUCACAGGUUUUGAGGUGUUCGCGGUGAGAUUUGGGAUCUCAAAAUAUACUGUCAUUGAUUCUCACUGGGAAGGAGAUACAGCGUAGUGCAAUAAUUUUGGUGCUCGCAGAUAAGAGAGACAGCUACUAGACGAAAGGAGAUUCAAGAGAGUGCGUACAAGAAGCAGAUGUGGGGUUUAGACCAUCCAAGUGCCAGAACUGGGGAAAGAUAAAGUAAACGGAAACAAACAGAGGGCAAGUGUGGGCAGAAGUCUUGCGGCAAGCAAUUUGGGCAAACCUGGAAGACCAGUCUACAUGAUCAGUAAUGGUUCUUGCACAGUGCUAGAAACAGGCUGUGACAAUUUGAAUGAGAAGGAAACUUUUUAAACCUGUAAGAAAACGUAGGGAUUUUUGAGCACAUCACUUUUCAGUUAAGGCAUUCUCAGGAACUGGCAGUGAUGCAGGGAACACGGCAAUGGCUGUACCUGCAAGAGACAGCAGAGCCGCUCACCUGUACUUCUUGUUAAACAGCCAGUGCGACCCAAAGCUUUACUGGAAAAAAUACAUAGAAAGGACAAAACCAGUGCAACCAAUACCAGCAGUUCAGAGUGAAGCACUAGAUGUGGUAUUUAAGUCCAGCUCUGGUAAAUUCCAUUUUUGGCUGGAGGCAUGAAAGGGAUGGGCUGUCAAGAGAGGCCAGAUACUGAUUGUGUGAUGGUCAGUACCAGCAGAAGGAGAGAGUGCCCAUGGGCUAAGCACAGUCUGCUCUGGAGAGAGAGCUCUGUCUGAUAGCUGGAACGCUGCUGGCCUGGACUCCUGAUAGCCUGAGGCACGUGGAAAAUCCCAACCAGAAGUCACAGUGGGGCCUACAUCCAUAGUCUCAUUCACCGAGUUUGGGGACUAAUUCCUUCAGCUGUAGAUGUGAAUGCAGACUUCAUCCAGUUUCCUUUCUUUUACUUGUAUGUUUCCCUAACAUGUCCUUGUCAUUGCUGUGCCAGCAUAUGCUGCACCAGUGCUACUCUGUCCCCUGACUAACAUCUGGCUCAAAUUUUAACAACAGUUUAGGGUACCUCUUCUUUUCAAGACUCUAGACUGAGAGCCUUUUCAGAUUUUAACUUCAGCUAUACCCAUGGGUGCUCACUUCCCUAAGAGAGUAUCCGGGAGCAUCCUACCUCUAUGAACUACAAAGUAAUAUCCACAGGACUCCGAUCGAGGAGAAAUCAAUCGCCUUGGAACACCAGAGAGCUGUUGGGCAAAACAAAUACAGCAUGUGUGGAGGACCCUGCUGAACCUGAUCUCAGGCUCUCCAGUGAUGUAUCACACCUACAUACACACAUAUGGAGAGAAAUUCUAAGUCUGAACUGAAACAUCUGCUCUGGAUCUGGAUCUUUCCAGAUCCACACAGCACAAGAGAUUUCUAGAGUGGAAAAGAAAGAACUGGGAAAGACCACAUUCACCCUUGGUUACAGGAAAAUGCCACCACACUACACAAUAUCAUUAAUUACCAGUGAAACUCUCUAUUUUAAAAUAAAGUCCUUUGUUAACUUUGAAAAACAUGUUUUGCCAUACAUUAUUCCCUCCCUCAUGGUCUUAGGCCCAGCAAAUCAAUAGUAGUGAAUAUCCUUUGAACAUCUUGAGACUACCCAGGCAGAGUUGCCAUUAGCUGGUAUUUCACUACAGCAUAUAAUUGGCCUUGCUCCUAAACCCUUGCACUUUCCUCUUGGUGCUGACUCUAAGGCUCGGAAUGGCUCCCUGAUGUUUCUGCUGCAUCCCCUCCUUUAGGCUGGCAUGCAUGGAGCCUUCUGCCAGGUAUAACUGUUGGCUAAUCAACCUCAUUGUCCUAGCAAAUCACCCGGGGUGAAAGGCUAACAACUCUCCAGCAGGUUUGCAGAGAGAGGAGGUGAAGGGGGAACUGAUUGCAGGGCUGGAAAAAUGGGAAACGUGCCCUCAGGUACUGGAUGCACAAAGCACUUUGUCAGCAAACAAUGGCUAUGGAGUGGAAAUGAGGGAAACAGAUGGGAAAUUACAUGCUUCCAAAACCUCUGUAAGAUUAAUUCCAUUUAGGAACUCUACAAGUCAGCUCUCAGAGCGGGGUGUGGCAGAACCUGGCAGAGCAGAGAAAUUCCACCCCUGGCACUCAAGGCUCUUGACCCUUUGCCAGAGCAGGGGCAGAGCGAUGCGGGUACCGAUCCUGGGGUUGUUCCUACUCAGAAUCACGUUGCUCCUUCAGCGCGGUUUUGAAAGAGAAAUGUCUUGUCCUCGAACACAAGUCACACCCUUCUCAGCCCACUCGUGGCUCCAGGAGCAGUGGCACAAGGACAGCCAGGAGAUGGCAUGAGCCAGGGCCAAACCUGCUCAGUGAGGAAUCCUGGCCUUCCUGGCGGGAAUAUUCCUCCUCCUCAUCCACUUGUUUGGCAACCACAACACUCGCUUUCCUUUUCUCAUCAAUAAAGCAGAGAUGUGAUGUGGCCAAGUACAAUUAAGCUUCUCUUCCUGAACCACUGGGAGAUCCUUGGAUGAAAAAGCUGUGUGUUAAACUGACAAAAAUGUAAUUAGUAAUUAAGAAGUGCCAUAAACAUCACAGAAAAUUUGCUCUUUGUUUUUGGGGAAUGAUGCAGCCAGUUGCUGAAAUGCAACUAAUUGCACCUGCUCGACUUCCAGGUGUGCCCCAUGCUGCAAGCAGUUGCACGCUGUAGGAUAAGGCUUCCUUCCCCUAGGAGGAAAAUGUCCUGUGGUAACACAACUGCUAGCACAUUCAGAUCACGUCAUGCCAAACAUGCAAAGAAUGAAAGAAUAGUUUGGGCGGCAAGGGACCCUAAAAAUCUAACUCCAAGCCCCUGCCAUGGGCAGAAUCACCAGCAAUAUGGUUUUAUAAAGGGUGUUAGCCUUGAAGCCUUAUAUGUACCCUAGUUGUGAAGGCAAUGUAAGAAUCUCUAGUAUUUCAAGUGACAAAUGAAUUUACCUAUAGGAAGAUUCCAACACCUGUGGCCAUUUGGUUGUUGGCUCCUCUGCUGAAGUGUCAGAGCAGAAGGUACCACACAAACCUGUUUGCAAGGACUGCAGAGAGAAUCCUUUUGCCAUUUAUUCAAACAGCCACUGCUGGCCAUGACAGUAAAAUCCUAUCCUGUCCUCCAGUUA
Motacilla alba alba is the source of this 11379-nucleotide long non-coding RNA. RefSeq lists it as uncharacterized. The record is from RefSeq and is a predicted model, not a curated record. Lineage: Eukaryota; Metazoa; Chordata; Aves; Passeriformes; Motacillidae. The transcript has 3 exons.